This 450-nucleotide ribosomal RNA is filed under the name uncultured bacterium. RNAcentral's name for it is "partial 16S ribosomal RNA". It matches the Rfam family "Bacterial small subunit ribosomal RNA", at positions 354 to 796 of the family's 1533-position model. The record is from RNAcentral.
GUGGGGAAUUUUGGACAAUGGGCGCAAGCCUGAUCCAGCAAUGCCGCGUGCAGGAAGAAGGCCUUCGGGUUGUAAACUGCUUUUGUACGGAACGAAACGGUCCUGGUUAAUACCUGGGGCUAAUGACGGUACCGUAAGAAUAAGCACCGGCUAACUACGUGCCAGCAGCCGCGGUAAUACGUAGGGUGCGAGCGUUAAUCGGAAUUACUGGGCGUAAAGCGUGCGCAGGCGGUGCUGUAAGACAGGCGUGAAAUCCCCGGGCUCAACCUGGAAAUUGCGCUUGUGACUGCAGUGCUGGAGUACGGCAGAGGGGGAUGGAAUUCCGCGUGUAGCAGUGAAAUGCGUAGAUAUGCGGAGGAACACCGAUGGCGAAGGCAGUCCCCUGGGCCUGUACUGACGCUCAUGCACGAAAGCGUGGGGAGCAAACAGGAUUAGAAACCCCGGUAGUCC